AUAUUACAUCUGGGGUGCCUGCUUGGCUGAGAUAUACCCAUUGAACCUGCUCUGGUUAGUACCAGCGAAGGGAGAUAACCUUUUAUUUAA
RNAcentral lists this non-coding RNA (90 nucleotides) under Paucilactobacillus oligofermentans. RNAcentral's name for it is "Lactobacillus oligofermentans TPP sequence". It matches the Rfam family "TPP riboswitch aptamer (THI element)". From Rfam's summary of the family: Vitamin B(1) in its active form thiamin pyrophosphate (TPP) is an essential coenzyme that is synthesised by coupling of pyrimidine and thiazole moieties in bacteria. The previously detected thiamin-regulatory element, thi box was extended, resulting in a new, highly conserved RNA secondary structure, the THI element, which is widely distributed in eubacteria and also occurs in some archaea. RNAcentral also lists the same sequence under 1 other name. Lineage: Bacteria; Bacillati; Bacillota; Bacilli; Lactobacillales; Lactobacillaceae. The record is from RNAcentral.